This 95-nucleotide small RNA is filed under the name Salmonella enterica. RNAcentral's name for it is "partial RtT sRNA". It matches the Rfam family "RtT RNA", at positions 1 to 104 of the family's 130-position model. From Rfam's summary of the family: This family represents a bacterial cis-regulatory element known as RtT RNA. The record is from RNAcentral. Lineage: Bacteria; Pseudomonadati; Pseudomonadota; Gammaproteobacteria; Enterobacterales; Enterobacteriaceae. RNAcentral also lists the same sequence under 1 other name.
AUAUCUCUCUGUACGGGAAGGAUGAGAAGGUUCGAUUCGAGCGUCAGCGAGAAAGCGUUGCCGCAGGCAACGACCCGAAGGGCGAAGCGCGCAGC